GAACGCUGGCGGUAGGCCUAACACAUGCAAGUCGAACGGCAGCACAGUAAGAGCUUGCUCUUACGGGUGGCGAGUGGCGGACGGGUGAGGAAUACAUCGGAAUCUACUUUUUCGUGGGGGAUAACGUAGGGAAACUUACGCUAAUACCGCAUACGACCUACGGGUGAAAGCAGGGGAUCUUCGGACCUUGCGCGAUUGAAUGAGCCGAUGUCGGAUUAGCUAGUUGGCGGGGUGAAGGCCCACCAAGGCGACGAUCCGUAGCUGGUCUGAGAGGAUGAUCAGCCACACUGGAACUGAGACACGGUCCAGACUCCUACGGGAGGCAGCAGUGGGGAAUAUUGGACAAUGGGCGCAAGCCUGAUCCAGCCAUACCGCGUGGGUGAAGAAGGCCUUCGGGUUGUAAAGCCCUUUUGUUGGGAAAGAAAAGCAGCAGGUUAAUACCCCGCUGUUCUGACGGUACCCAAAGAAUAAGCACCGGCUAACUUCGUG
RNAcentral lists this ribosomal RNA (489 nucleotides) under uncultured bacterium. RNAcentral's name for it is "partial 16S ribosomal RNA". It matches the Rfam family "Bacterial small subunit ribosomal RNA", at positions 31 to 507 of the family's 1533-position model. The record is from RNAcentral.